GAUGAACGCUAGCGGCAGGCUUAACACAUGCAAGUCGAGGGGUAUUGGUUUUCGGACCAAGAGACCGGCGCACGGGUGCGUAACGCGUAUGCAAUCUACCUUUUGCAGAGGGAUAGCCCCAGAGAAAUUUGGAUUAAUACCUCAUAGUAUAGUACUUUGGCAUCAAGGAACUAUUAAAGUCACAACGGCAAAAGAUGAGCAUGCGUCCCAUUAGCUAGUUGGUAAGGUAACGGCUUACCAAGGCUACGAUGGGUAGGGGUCCUGAGAGGGAGAUCCCCCACACUGGUACUGAGACACGGACCAGACUCCUACGGGAGGCAGCAGUGAGGAAUAUUGGACAAUGGGCGCAAGCCUGAUCCAGCCAUGCCGCGUGCAGGAUGACGGUCCUAUGGAUUGUAAACUGCUUUUANACAGGAAGAAACACUCCGACGUGUCGGAGCUUGACGGUACUGUAAGAAUAAGGA
Molecule: ribosomal RNA, 464 nt
Filed under: uncultured bacterium
Lineage: Bacteria
Description: bacterial SSU rRNA
Rfam family: Bacterial small subunit ribosomal RNA
Source: RNAcentral